This is a long non-coding RNA of Monomorium pharaonis (pharaoh ant), 2846 nucleotides long. RefSeq lists it as uncharacterized. The transcript has 4 exons. NCBI's taxonomy places the organism in Eukaryota, Metazoa, Arthropoda, Insecta, Hymenoptera, Formicidae. The record is from RefSeq and is a predicted model, not a curated record.
CGUGCGUAUAUGUCAAACAAUAAAUAUUAUAUAAAUGAUUUAUGACAUUUGAUUUAAUAAAUGAAUAAAAAUUACACAAAUAACUAAUAAUAUAGUGCAUAGAGAUGAACAAGUUUCUUUAAUGUGCCUUUAUAAACACCAAUGCAUGAUUGAAUUUUCGUUCUUCACCUUGGAAUCAUUCAGAUUUCAAGGAAAUAAAAUUAAUAGAAGAAUAAAGAAAAAAGCUGGAAAGAAAUAAAGGAGAAUAGACAAAUAUAUCAGAUAAGUAGCUAAUAUCUUUAUAGAAUAAAAAAUUGUGUAUCCUACGUGCUUUUAUAAUCAUAGAGGAACUAGCUAAUUCAUUUCUUGAAUUAAUUUUUUGUUUCAGCUUCCCAGUCAAUCAUUUGCUUGUAGAAUGUUGAUAGCCCCGGAGAACAAUCCCCUGCAGAGUGAAACUACCAAAUUCUAAGCCUACUACGUUCUCGAGUGUACCAAAAUUCAAGGAGAACGUGUUAUCCACAUUGGUCUUUGCAAGAAUGGGGAUUUGGAGUAGCAAUGGAAUGCUUGUCAAAGAUUAUUUCGCUGUUUCGUAUUGUUCGUGCCCAAAAUUGUGGAUGCCUCAUGAAGCUCCGAAUACGUUUCUGGUGCUUAGAAAGGUAAACUGUAAAUAAUAUUGCAUUUUAAAAAUAAUUAAUAUGGUAUGGAAAAAAUGUUAGCAAAAUGAGGCAUUUAAUAUACCUAAAAAUUCAACAAUUGUUGUGUGUUUUUUCAGGUUCAACCGAAGUUCUCGGUUGUGUCUCUCAGAUAUAUUGUUAGUUCUGUGUACUUCUUGAAAUACGCAGAAGGAAUUGGGCUUGAAAUACGCAGAAGGAAUUGGGCUUAAAAUUAUUCAGCCACGUUUCUUGAUAAUAAUGGAAAAAGGAUUCCAAAAACGUGCAAUUAUGGAAUAUAAUUGUAGAUAUUAAUUUAAAGCCUUCUUCUAUCAACGUAUGUGGCAAAUAAGCCAAAGAUAUGAACAGUUUUGUAGCACCCCACCCCACAUCAUCUUUUAGUAUGCCAUAUUUUUCAGCAUUAUGCACUAACGCUUGUAAUAAGAAAUAAACAUGAUUAAAAUUGACAUGCAUUUUAUGCUAAUUAAGUUAUUUUUCCUAAUUACCUGACUGUAAUGAAAUAAACAGCCCAUAAUUUUAGCGCUAGGAAAAACUGUUCGUAAAGCUUUCCUUUCAGCUUUCUCAAAAUCAGAUAUCACUGUAUCAGAUUUUAUUUUUAAAAUAUUUGUAACUUUUUUUAAUACAGCAAUAUAAUUUUUUGCGGUGCGACCUUCCAUUAUGGCGUAGACUAUUGGAAAUGUUUAAAAAAUUUCAAAGCAUUUAUAUUUAAUAAUAUAUUUACAUAGAAUAUAGAGUGCCCGUUGUGAUUAAAGGAACUAAUUAUUUCAAUAAUGAACUAAAUUGUUUUGCUUACUCUAAUAUUGUGUUUAAUGAUAAUUGUCCACAAUUGACAAUUAAUAUUUUUUAGUUGGGGAACAGUAGCGAAUGUUCCAUCUACAAAAACUGUUAAUUUAUCGUUUUGCUCAUUUAGAAUUUUAUCUGACAAACUUUUGUCAAUAAAAAUAAUUGCUUUCGUCGUAUUAUCUUCAACAACUAAUUCUACAAUAAAUAAAUCUUCUUCUGUUAUAAUCUUUUAAUUAACUAUUACUCUGAUGAUGAUUACUUACUGCUUACUUUGUAUUUGUGUUUGAUUUACUAAUUACUUCAAGUAUAAACUAAUGUUAAAAGUUAAAUAUCGCGGUUUAUUCAUUAUUCUUUACUCAUUUGUUUGUCGUUAUGGUUUUUUUCUGGUUAGUAUUUUUCCCGAUUGUCAUUUUGCAAUCGAACCAAGAUAUUGUGUGUUAACAUUCUACAAGCAAAUGAUUGACUGGGAAGCUGAAACAAAAAAUUAAUUCAAGAAAUGAAUUAGCUAGUUCCUCUAUGAUUACAAAAGCACGUAGGAUACACAAUUUUUUAUUCUAUAAAGAUAUUAGCUACUUAUCUGAUAUAUUUGUCUAUUCUCCUUUAUUUCUUUCCAGCUUUUUUCUUUAUUCUUCUAUUAAUUUUAUUUCUUUGAAAUCUGAAUGAUUCCAAGGCGAAGAACGAAAAUUUAAUCAUGCAUUGGUGUUUAUAAAUGCACAUUAAAGAAACUGGAAAUUAAUAUAAUAUAAUAUAAUAUAAUAUAAAUACAAUAUAAUGUAAUAUAAUACAUAUAAUAAUAUAUAAUACAUUAAUAUAUAUAUUAUAAAUAUAAUUUGUUCUCUCAUAUAUAAAUAUAUAAAACAUUUGUUCACCUUGUUCAUCUCUAUGCACUAUAUUUUUAGUUAUUUGUGUAAUUUUUAUUCAUUUAUUAAAUCAAAUGUCAUAAAUCAUUUAUAUAAUAUUUAUUGUUUAACAUAUACGCGCGCAUACGUCAAACCCGACUCUGCAAACCUUGGAUUUACUACUUUAACAGUGUUACUAACCUGCAGAAAUUGAAACGGUAUUGCCUAGAGAAUUUGGUUAGUACCAACAUUUUCUCAUCUAGUUUUCGGGAAAAUGUCGUGUAACCAAAAUAACUGAAUUUACCCCUCUAUGAGGGGUUCUAACUCAAAGGUUUUGUGUAGGUUUACUCUAUAGUAGUAAGGGUGACAGUGACUUAUGUAUAACAAGAACGGUAACGAGGGCAAUAAAAUCAAAAUAGUAGUAAGGUAGUAGCAAAUAUGAAUAAUUCUGGCAAACGAUAUGAUAAUCUUAUAAUAAAGAUUAUAAAAUAGUCAUGACAAUAAGCUGAUAAUUGAGUAAUAAUAAUAAAAAUAAUUGUAAUAAAUUAGCAAUUACAAAGGUCUUACAAGGGGA